Long non-coding RNA from Triticum dicoccoides, 685 nucleotides. RefSeq lists it as uncharacterized. The record is from RefSeq and is a predicted model, not a curated record. The transcript is spliced from 2 exons. NCBI's taxonomy places the organism in Eukaryota, Viridiplantae, Streptophyta, Magnoliopsida, Poales, Poaceae.
AUCUCUGUCAAACCUUUCUUUAGCAUUGAAGAAGAGCAUAAAGUUUGCUAGAUCGCUAGAGGCAAAGAGGCAAGGAAAUGAAUUCAAUGCAGACAGAUACUCAAAAAGAGCUGCAGAGAUGGGAUUCGAACUAUCUCAACAACAGAGAUCACUCUUUCUUCAUACUGAAAAUGCCCUUGUUCGUGAAUCUGCCCAGCUCCAUUCAGCUGUCGUCAAGUUAAAGGACUUGAGAGACAACUGCAAGAAAGAUCUGAAGAUCUGAUCAUCAAUUCUUCGCCGGGGAGACGAGUCCUGCAUGCACGGUUGUGCUCUGGUAAACUUGUUACCCUGGGAUGUAGUAGGAUAAGCUGGAUCUUUUUGAAUCAAGAUGUGUACGGUAUUUGGUUGUCAACUAGCAAGUUAGGGGGUUCUCAAGUAGGAAAUUCGGCCGUAGAGAUUACUCCUAACUUAAAACAUAGGCCAGCAUCUUAGCCUCUGAAGAUCGUCUGAGGAAAUGCUUUUGUAAAAAUCUUAGAGGGAGUUGUGAACUGUAGGUUUGUGACAGGAGUCCUUUCAGUCGCUCAGUCAGCACGUGGAUGUGAGAUAGCACCAUUUUGUUUCCUGCUCUCCAAAGAGCCAAACGGGAAGUGCAAAUAAUGUCAUUUGACUAGUUUUUCCAUGCUUGCUGCUGAUGUUUCCACCGUUU